Molecule: ribosomal RNA, 500 nt
Filed under: uncultured bacterium
Lineage: Bacteria
Description: partial 16S ribosomal RNA
Rfam family: Bacterial small subunit ribosomal RNA
Source: RNAcentral
AUUGAACGCUGGCGGCAUGCCUUACACAUGCAAGUCGAACGGCAGCGCGGACUUCGGUCUGGCGGCGAGUGGCGAACGGGUGAGUAAUACAUCGGAACGUACCCUGUUGUGGGGGAUAACUAGUCGAAAGAUUAGCUAAUACCGCAUACGACCUGAGGGUGAAAGUGGGGGACCGCAAGGCCUCACGCAGCAGGAGCGGCCGAUGUCUGAUUAGCUAGUUGGUGGGGUAAAGGCCCAACAAGGCGACGGUCAGUAGCUGGUCUGAGAGGACGAUCAGCCACACUGGGACUGAGACACGGCCCAGACUCCUACGGGAGGCAGCAGUGGGGAAUUUUGGACAAUGGGGGCAACCCUGAUCCAGCAAUGCCGCGUGUGUGAAGAAGGCCUUCGGGUUGUAAAGCACUUUUGUCCGGAAAGAAAUCGCGCUGGUUAAUACCUGGCGUGGAUGACGGUACCGGAAGAAUAAGCACCGGCUAACUACGUGCCAGCCGCCGCCGUAA